RNA transcript from Oncorhynchus kisutch (coho salmon), 2584 nucleotides. It is a transcript of the gene named tRNA selenocysteine 1-associated protein 1-like, with no coding region annotated. The record is from RefSeq and is a predicted model, not a curated record. Lineage: Eukaryota; Metazoa; Chordata; Actinopteri; Salmoniformes; Salmonidae. The transcript has 9 exons.
UCUUCGAAGGACGGAUAGAAUCCACAUCGCCCCCUAGCGAAAAUAAGGUCCAAACCACUGGCACUGAGGUUUAUUGUUUUGUUAACACUGAUCUAUAAAGUCAAUCAUUUUGAAAUCGCCUACAUAAUCUAAUGCGGAAAUGAAUUCAAGAUGUGUCCAUUCUUGCUAGUCCAUUUAUUUAGCUAACCGAAUUUCCGGAGGCGUGGUCUUCACCAUCUUUGAUUUCAGUAGCACCAGUUUCAGCAGGAAGAGCUAUCAAUUUAUAAAACAUAACUAGUAGCUACAUAUUCGUGUUUGCAGGAUACACCCCGAAAAUAAACCACCAAUAUGUUCAACAGGAUGACAAGCCUUUGGAUGGGUGAUCUGGACCCAUACAUGGAUGAGAAUUUCAUCAAACAAGCCUUCAGCACUAUGGGCGAGACGGCGUAUGGUGUUAAGAUCAUUACCCACAGAGUAACAGGUGGUUCAGCGGGCUAUUGCUUUGUGGAAAUGGCAGACGAAACCAGCGUUGACCGAUGCGUUCACCAACUGAAUGGGAAGCUAGUUCCUGGAUCAAAUCCGGAACUAACUGACGAAUGGAAUAAAGCCUGUUCUGGGUGGUGGAGCCCAGAAAGUUUAAGUUAAACUAUGCAACUUACGGGAAACGGCCAGAGGCUGGCCCGGAAUUUUCAGUUUUUGUGGGAGAUCUGUCUUCAGAGGUGGACGACUACCAGCUUCAUCAGUUCUUCUUGAAGAAGUACCCUUCCUGCAAAGGAGGCAAAGUGGUCUCUGAUCAGUAUGGUAACUCCAGGUAUGUGUGCUGAACAGACUUAUACAUUCAUGUUAUUUGGUGAGGCUAGUUAUGCACCACCUGCUUUUGAACACAAUUUGAAUUAAUCUGACAUUUCAUUACAUUUUAAAUUCCUUGUAAAAGCUCAUGGCGUUUUAACAAUAGACAAUUGUUUCAAUAACAAUUCUUAUUACAUUGGAUGUGUGUGUGUAUAUAUAUAUACUACUGUGUUGGGUAUCUUCACCACUGUUUACCACUGGUAUAUUUCCCCCCAAAUACUGGAAAAGUUUGUUUCUGACAUUUAUGCUAAAACUAUUGUUUUCCCCAUGUAGGGUAAGCAAGAGCAACUCACAAUUGAAGUGAUGCUACUUCAUAUUAAAAGUAAAACAACAAGUUUCAGUUCUACCAUACCAUUUUUGUUUUUCGAAUUAAUUACGCAUUUGAUUAGCAUGAUACGGCGAGUUCGGACAGAAUGUGUGCUCAGGGUUUUAGCAUUUUGCUUGCUCUCGCAGAGGUUAUGGCUUCAUCAAGUUUGAAGAUGAGAACGAACAGAAGAAAGCCAUCGAUGAGUGUCAGAAUGCUUCAGGCCUGGGGACGAAACCAAUCAGGAUCAGCAUAGCUGUGAACAAGAGCCAUAAAAUGAACAGCUAUAACAACCAGAACCACAACUCCUACCACAACAAUUACCAACAGCCAUACUAUCAACAACCCAACCAGAAUUACUACCCUCAGUGGGGCUAUGACCAGUACAACAGCUACAACUAUGGUGGGUACGGUCCCUACGGGGGGUACCCCCCUCCAGGCCCCCAUGGGAUGAUGGGACCCCCACCUCCCAUCGGUAUGCCCCCCAUGCCCACAGACAUGCAGACUUCCGCAGAGCAAACACAGGAGUCCACAGAUGAGCCUGAAGAAGAGGCAGCAGAAGAACCCAAUCCUCACCUGGAUGUGGAUGCACUGAACAAAGAAUACAUGGAGGGGAGUGAGGAGCUCUAUGAUUCACUAAUGAACUGUCACUGGCAGCCACUGGAUACCAUCACUUCAAAAAUCCCUCCUUUUUCCACUUCCUGAUCUGUUUCAACUUGUCCUAUGAAUUUAGUAUGAAGUGUAUUUUCUCCAAAAGAGCAGUCACACAGAAAAUGUCAGCGUUGUUUAAAAAAAAAAUCACCAGUAGAGACGCAUUAUGUUUCUGAGCUACAUUAUUGGCCAUUUGUAUAUAUUGUCCACGUCUUUUGCUUAUUUUUUUCUGUCUCUCUAGAUUAUUAUUAUUAGAUCUUUUUUUUGCCGAAACUUGAUUCUUCCAUUUUAAUUUGAUUAUAUCAAGUAACCAAUGUUUGUCAUCUCCCAGACACUUUGUUUUUUAUUUCACACUGUUUUGGGUACCAUCUUGUCUUCAGAAAGAAAAUGUAAAGAAAUGUUGGUGUAACUCUAUUUUUCAAAAAUGAGAAACUUCCAUUUAAGCUUGUAUUUCAAAAGCUUGCAUCUCACCUUUACUUUAGCUUAAUCUGUGGGUUUCUUUUUUUUUCUUCUUUUAAAUGCAUUUACCUGUCAUUUUCAUGUUAUACAACUUGUCUAUUUGUCUUAGACUUGUAAUUCAUGUCAGCUUUUUUUUGUGCCUGUAGCUUUUGAAAUAAUUGUAUUAUUAAAGCUGACUUGGAGGGGAAAAAAAACAGAUGUUGAAGUUGUUUAAGUACAGUAGUAGACUGUAUUAUCCAAUUGUAAUUUGACACGGAAAAGUGGUGCUUAUGCAAAGUUUAACAUUUUCAUUCAACACAUUUGGUCUGAUUUUAAUAAAAUCACAAUUAAUUUUCCUUCUUA